Linepithema humile (Argentine ant) is the source of this 988-nucleotide long non-coding RNA. RefSeq lists it as uncharacterized. The record is from RefSeq and is a predicted model, not a curated record. NCBI's taxonomy places the organism in Eukaryota, Metazoa, Arthropoda, Insecta, Hymenoptera, Formicidae.
ACGACAGUGCACUACAGCGACAUCCUACUGCAUUCCUUUCUGCUCGUUCUCCCGACCAUUUACUCUUAAGGAAGUGGAAGGAAUAAAUUUACUGAACGCGUAUCCAUUUCAUGUUAAGUGCAAAAGAUUCAACUAAAAUGGACGCACCGAAUUACUGCAAUAUAAUUGGUGCGCUGCUACUACGGUGUCGGUACAAAAAUCCGCCACAACGACCGCGAAAUCGUAUUCACAUCGCUCUAUAUUUUUCAUCGAUGUUAUUGUUUACAGUAUCGACGAUGCGCUUCUUCGUACCUGGAAUUGGUCGAGAUUCUUUUCACGAAUUUUACAGCAUUAUUUUUGACCAAAGAGCAUCAAAAAGGCAAUUAACAUCUAUCCUUGCUAGUAUCGAUAAUCCGCCUUUUUGUGCCCGGAAUUGGUCUUCGCAAAUUUCACGGCGCUAGUUUUGUCCGAGGAACAUCGAAAAACAACUGGCCGAUACACGAUCAUCAUCAGAUAAACUUUGUGCGCGUAAUCGGUGCUACAAAAUAUCGUUCCGUCGUAAUAUAAUAAAAUACGCGUCGGGAGUGCCGUUAAUAUCGGGAGUGCCGUCAUAAUUUCGCGCGAGUUUAAAGUAUCGCGCGAUUUUCGCAUUCGAGUACGCGCGCGAGCAAUGCGUGCGCCGCGACGCGUGUGAGUCAGUGUGAGUGCCUCGAAAGACUGCUGAGAGGAGGAGGAGGCAUCGGGCGACAGCAAAGCAUACGACUCGGCAACCACGACGGGUCCAUGCGAUAAUAGGAGAAGGCGUCCAUUCGACAAUAUCUUCUUGCGAGGCGCUCGCCGAUUCCCCCGGAGCAUCCAACGCCGCGCCGAGUCGGAAUGUUUGACGCCACAAGCUGCCUCUCUUCGGACGUCCAAUAAAGGAAAUUCGGCUGACCGCAAAAAUCCGUUUCUACUGCCGUGUAGAGGAAUUUGGGGACUGCAAUCUUCUCGGAAUCCGCCGAAUGGAAUG